RNAcentral lists this RNase P RNA (440 nucleotides) under Bacteroidaceae bacterium. Its description in RNAcentral is "RNase P RNA component class A". It matches the Rfam family "Bacterial RNase P class A". From Rfam's summary of the family: Ribonuclease P (RNase P) is a ubiquitous endoribonuclease, found in archaea, bacteria and eukarya as well as chloroplasts and mitochondria. Its best characterised activity is the generation of mature 5'-ends of tRNAs by cleaving the 5'-leader elements of precursor-tRNAs. Lineage: Bacteria; Pseudomonadati; Bacteroidota; Bacteroidia; Bacteroidales; Bacteroidaceae. The record is from RNAcentral.
ACAGUGGGACGGCUUGCCGCUGGCCGAUCUCCUUCGGAGAAGAGCGAGAGGAAAGUCCGGGCAACACAGGGCACUCCGCUACCUAACAGGUAGAAGUCCGCGAGGGCUUGCACGUGCAGAAGAAAAUAACCGCCGCCUUAUUUAAAGAUAGUUUCAUAGUAGAUAUCUGGUUUUGAAAACACUGGCGGUAAGGGUGAGAAGGUGGGGCAAGAGCCCACCAGGCGUAUGGCGACAUACGUGCUGUGCACACCGGAGGUUGAAAGUUCGCGUAAACCGGCGAUGCGCCGACUGCGUCCUCACGAGGGCGCAAGGGCGAGAGAGGGCUGCCCGCCCGAGCCGGAGGGUAGAACGAUGGAGGCGUCGCGAGAGCGGCGUCCUGGAUAAAUGGCAGGCACCCGCCUCGGCGGGCACAGAACCCGGCUUACAGGCCCACUGUUUUU